This 253-nucleotide ribosomal RNA is filed under the name uncultured bacterium. Its description in RNAcentral is "partial 16S ribosomal RNA". It matches the Rfam family "Bacterial small subunit ribosomal RNA", at positions 524 to 776 of the family's 1533-position model. The record is from RNAcentral.
UACGUAGGUGACCAGCGUUGUCCGGAUUUACUGGGCGUAAAGAGCGCGCAGGCGGUCGUUCAAGUCGAGUGUGAAAGCCCCCGGCUCAACUGGGGAGGAUCACGCGAUACUGCUCGACUCGAAGGCAGGAGAGGGAAGUGGAAUUCCCGGUGUAGUGGUGAAAUGCGUAGAUAUCGGGAGGAACACCAGUGGCGAAGGCGACUUCCUGGCCUGUUCUUGACGCUGAGGCGCGAAAGCUAGGGUAGCAAACGGG